CGGAAUGGGUCCAAAGACUCUUAAAACCUACCGUGCUUCCCCUACGUGGGACAACAGGAAAGCCCCUCCGGGGCAUCGGAAAUCUGAGAAGUUUGAUGAAACUGCGCCCCGGCGCAUGACUUAAGAAAAAAUUACAACCCA
Molecule: unclassified non-coding RNA, 141 nt
Filed under: soil metagenome
Description: partial internal transcribed spacer 1
Source: RNAcentral